UGAGAGGAGCCAUUCCCAUUGCCUGAACC
This 29-nucleotide non-coding RNA is filed under the name Mus musculus (house mouse). The record is from RNAcentral. Lineage: Eukaryota; Metazoa; Chordata; Mammalia; Rodentia; Muridae.